UACAGAGGUCUCACGCGUUGUUCGGAUUCAUUGGGCGUAAAGGGUGUGUAGGUGGCGCGCUAAGUCGGGUGUGAAAUUUCGGAGCUUAACUCCGAAACUGCAUUCGAUACUGGCGUGCUUGAGGACUGGAGAGGAGACUGGAAUUCAUGGUGUAGCAGUGAAAUGCGUAGAGAUCAUGAGGAAGACCAGUGGCGAAGGCGGGUCUCUGGACAGUUCCUGACACUGAGGCACGAAGGCUAGGGGAGCAAACGGG
This 253-nucleotide ribosomal RNA is filed under the name uncultured bacterium. RNAcentral describes it as "partial 16S ribosomal RNA". It matches the Rfam family "Bacterial small subunit ribosomal RNA", at positions 524 to 776 of the family's 1533-position model. The record is from RNAcentral.